This 498-nucleotide ribosomal RNA is filed under the name uncultured bacterium. RNAcentral's name for it is "partial 16S ribosomal RNA". It matches the Rfam family "Bacterial small subunit ribosomal RNA", at positions 30 to 523 of the family's 1533-position model. The record is from RNAcentral.
AUUGAACGCUGGCGGCAUGCUUUACACAUGCAAGUCGAACGGUAACAGGCCGCAAGGUGCUGACGAGUGGCGAACGGGUGAGUAAUGCAUCGGAACGUGCCCAGUCGUGGGGGAUAACGCAGCGAAAGCUGUGCUAAUACCGCAUACGAUCUAUGGAUGAAAGCGGGGGACCGUAAGGCCUCGCGCGAUUGGAGCGGCCGAUGUCAGAUUAGCUAGUUGGUGGGGUAAAGGCCCACCAAGGCGACGAUCUGUAGCUGGUCUGAGAGGACGACCAGCCACACUGGGACUGAGACACGGCCCAGACUCCUACGGGAGGCAGCAGUGGGGAAUUUUGGACAAUGGGCGCAAGCCUGAUCCAGCAAUGCCGCGUGCAGGAAGAAGGCCUUCGGGUUGUAAACUGCUUAUCUACGGAACGAAACGGUCUGGGUUAAUACCUCGGGCUAAUGACGGUACCGUAAGAAUAAGCACCGGCUAACUACGUGCCAGCCGCCGCCGUAA